CUGUUCUGGCUCCCCCUCUCUAAUCCUUGCUACCUGGGUGAGAGUGCUUUGUGAAUGCAGUGCACCUGGGCAAGGGUUCUGUGAGAGAGAGC
Molecule: microRNA precursor, 92 nt
Organism: Cavia porcellus (domestic guinea pig)
Lineage: Eukaryota; Metazoa; Chordata; Mammalia; Rodentia; Caviidae
Gene: MIR500B
Product: microRNA 500b
Source: Ensembl